AGCCCGGUCGUCUAGCGGUCAAGGAAGGGCUAGAUCUCCUUGAAUACCAGGCUCUGGAUCUCAUGAAAAGAAACCUGGUGACGGCAGUUCGAAUCUGCCCCGGGCUACCA
RNAcentral lists this transfer RNA (110 nucleotides) under Candidatus Nitrosocaldaceae archaeon. RNAcentral's name for it is "tRNA-Gln". The record is from RNAcentral. Lineage: Archaea; Thermoproteati; Nitrososphaerota; Nitrososphaeria; Candidatus Nitrosocaldales; Candidatus Nitrosocaldaceae.